This 29142-nucleotide long non-coding RNA is filed under the name Arabidopsis thaliana (thale cress). Its description in RNAcentral is "long non-coding RNA (ATHA_LNC000156)". The stretch from base 18348 to 18559 matches the Rfam family "MIR854 microRNA precursor family". The record is from RNAcentral. Lineage: Eukaryota; Viridiplantae; Streptophyta; Magnoliopsida; Brassicales; Brassicaceae.
UUUUUUUUUUUUUUUUGUCUAAAUAUCAUGUAAUGCCUUUGCUACAAAUUUACAAGAUGAUUAACUAGGUUUACCUGAAGAAGCUCAAGAGACAAUAUACGGGUCUUGGUUGUGACUUCAUCACUAUCUUCUUUCAUACCCAUCUGAUACAGAACUUAAAAAAAUUGUCACAUAAGCACCACAAAUAGCUAGUCAAGAAUAGAGAGAUGGAACCAUAAAAAAAAGCCAACCUUGCAAAGGGUACGGAAAACAAGCAAUGCAUCACGCUGUCCAAUACUCAUGCUCUCCAGCUCGAUGCCCCUAUGGAAUUAAAAUGAGUUGAAUAGAAAGUCAUGACUCUUACAAAGAAAAAAAACAAGUCUAACUCAUUAUCUGCUAAUCAAAACAGGUAAAUAUGAGCAUGUGUGUAUGUAAAGCCACAUGCAAGUUUAUAUGUAUGAUACAGGCAUGUGCGUACACAUACUCAAACACAUAAGCCUAAAUAGGCGUAACAACAUACUGGUACAUAGAUCAGUAAAGCAAAAGCUUAAACUCAGAAAUUGAGAAGAGUGGUAUGACAUAUACCGUUUUAUCUUCUUGCCAUCUUCAAGAUGCACAGCUUUGUCAAGGGCGGCUUCUAAACCCUGAUCAUAGGAUUCAGAAUUUCAUUGUCCGCAAAAGCCACAACUUUUGAACCACAGUAUACAAGAGUCAUCUAUCUACCAGGAAGAACGAAAAAACUAUUCUAGAGAACUUCUUCCAGCCUCACUAUUUAAAAUUCAGACAGGAAACUCUAUAGAGCUUAUGGGACGCAGACAUGUUAAAAAAAAUAUAUCUAGUGGGCAUUCAAAGACAAGUGACAGACGAAUAUCUCUACUUAUCCAGAAGCAACAAAGAGGAUAUGCCAGAAGUAUAUAGAGAAAGAACGCUACAAAACAAUAUACAAUCUUUUUCUUCUAAGGAAUUUCUAACUUUUUUUCCAUAAUUCUUUCAGUACUUCUUUUUUUGAAGAAUACAUCUCUAAUCCAGUCACGGAUAUGGAGAAAUGUUUACGAUAUAAGGUGAAAGACCAACCUUAAUAUCAGCACCGCCCACAAGGGUAUGCAGCUCUUCAACAGAUGCAAGAGUUGUGUCUUUAGCCUGAGUGAGUGCAUCUCCUAAGGUCAUUUCUUUCUCAUUUUCGUCAGCUGCAGUUAUUUCUUCAUUUUUAGGGCUUGAAGUGUCACCUGAAACAUGUUCUUCUUGAGACACUGUGGAUGAUGCGGAAACCUAGAUAUAUAUUUAAUGGUCAGCACCUCCAUUCAACAUUUACUUUGUUUUCAUGCAUUCAAAUUCAAUAAAGCAUAUGCAACAUCGAGAAAUAUAGAAUUACUUACAAUGUCAGUCUCCAUUCUCCUGAAUACAAUGCUUAUCAUCUGAGUCAGCAUUGCUUUAGAAGUUGCUUGGUUAAUUGGGCUCUUGCUACAUGUAAAUUCUGCAUUUAGUGAUUGCACCUAGGGUGAUUAAAAAAUUAGAAAAAAGAAGAGAAAACACACCUGUUUAGAGCAAUGUUAUAGCAAACUCUAAUAACUCCCAGCAAUGGCUCCCCAUGCACUGCGAUAAAAACAGAUUAAAAUAAUUUAAAUUGAUAUUGCAAGCAAAAUAAGUAGAGGAAACAGUUCAGCCCACUAAAAGUUACAAAACAUAGCUUUCUACAUCAGAGAAUUACCUUUGAACUUUCCUGAAGCAACAGCUGUAAGAAGAACCUUCAGUACUUGGAGUACAGUGCUGCACAAAACUUUCAGCUUUAAGAAUUGGUAUAACCAAUCUCAAGAAGAUUUUGAAACACGAAGGUACAUACCUGUCUGGUGAUGAAUUAUCAACACAGCUGCAAACCAUGUUCAGAAUGUCGGUGAAAGGUGCAGAAUUUUUUCCACCAUCCAACCCCGGAUCCCCUUCCAAAUGAUCAUAGGCAAUGAGUUUCUGCUUGCAACAAACAAAGAAUUAAAAACAUAUACAGAACAUUAAUAGAAUGACAGGAGAUACAUUACAUAAGUACAGAGUCAAAUGAAUCUGAAACGAAAAAACUUUAAUGGAGCAAACGUCCAGGGAUACUCAGAGCAAUUUAAAAAAAAAAAAAAAUACAUACAUGAAGACAAUCCAAAGCAGCAUCAAAUAUUUUUAAGUUCUUUGUCUCAAAUGCAAGGCGUAGAGGUUUCAGCACAAGCUCCACUUCCGCUCCCCCUAAUGUGUGUCCAGCAUUUGCUAAGGAAACGUUUAUAGUCUCACUUUUUGACUGGCUAGCCUGCUGCGCUACUUCAGCACUCGUGACUUUUUGCGGUUCAUCUGCUUCUACCCCAGUUUUUUCACCUCCACCUUCAGCUUGUGAACUGAAGUUAAAUAUAAAGUGUCAGUGUAGACGAAAUAAACUGUUGAACAAGCCACCUUUACAUAUAAAUUACAAAACCCUUUAAGAAAUGGUCAGAUAAAAGAUAACCAAAAACACGGAAGUCUCAAACUCUUACAGAAAACUAAAAUUUGACAAAUAAGAUUUGGCAAAGAGUUUUCAUGAAAGCGUGACUAGUAGCUACCAUGGUUAAAAGGUGACUAAGAUAAACAUCACCAGAUGACUACCUAACAUUACAAUAAAAUUUCAAAGUAACUAUCAGUUUUAUCGAGAAAACUCAAUCCAACAACUAGCAGAAAAUGGAAUACUGGUUUGGUCAUUACCUCUCCACUAUGCUCGAGGGUGCAGCCUGCGUAACAACCUUUGAACCAUCUAUAAACAAUCACAAAUGGAAGCUAAACCAGUUAGCGACAGAAAAAUCAUUACCACCUAAUUUCUUCUAUCAAAUGAAAACAUUUGUGACCAAGGCCAAAUUAGAGCCAAAAAUAAAAACAAAAUGUGGAGAGAAGCCUUAAAAUUCAUUGAUUUCUGGAUAGCACCAGGGAGUGAAUGUCCUUCAUACUACUUCUAAUAUCACCUCAUUGAUAUAGAUCAGUUGAAAAUCUAAGUAGCACAUGCAGCUUACGCGUAGCUAUACCCCGAAGAUGACAAGUUCAAACAAAUUUUGUAACAACAGACGUCACUUCUCUUUAAUUUAACAAAGAACUAAGCAAACCAUUCUGUAAUCAUGUAAGUAACUAAUCCCUGUCCAGAACUUUCUUGUACAAUAAAGCACAGAUUGAUUGGAACCUAAAAGAAAUUACGUCUUCCAAAAAGGUUAUAUUACUCGAACUAACGAAUAAGAAGUAAAACUAUUCUGAUACGUAGCAUCUUUGUUCACAGGUCUAAUUGUCAGAUACAAACUAUAAGCCAGAAGGUCUUAAAUUCCAUCGAAUUUCAUAGUCUUAGCUGUAUCCUACCACAUCAUACUAAAGUUCACUAACAAAACCAAACACUGGGAAUAACCUGAAAUCUCAGCUUGUGCGACCACAUUUUAGUCAAAUACAUCUAGCAGAUGGCUAUGAUCGUGGAAUCUACCCGGACCAAAAGCAACGAUCGAACGAUUUUGAGCAAAAAAUUGGGAGAAAUUGAGAUCUAACCUUGAUAAGCUUGAAUAGCUUUCUGGAGAUCAGGAAACUUCUUUCCUCCAGACUCCUUAAGCAUCGUAUCAAAUGCUCGAGUCAAAAAUCCACCAGCCGCCAUCUUUAAUCCUUCCUAUUUCGACUUCUUCGUCUUCUUGUUCUACCGCAAAAUCGAACGAAUUACACAAUCGGAUCGUGCGGGAGCAAGAUCGUCGGAGAUACGACGGAAUCGAGAGAGAAGUGAGAAAUGAGAAUUGCCUUAGCUCUCUGGUUUUGACCCAAGAAGCUCGAUCGAAGAGAGAUCUGAGGCAACGAAACGAGCCACUAGCUAGAUCUAAUUUCCCAUUUGAAAACAAAAUUAAAUUAUUACUAACUAUUUCAAUUGAAGAAAAUAAUAAUAAUCAAUUAAAACCGGGAUUAUUUCUAAACUGAAUUGAACCGGGAUUUUGGUGGGUUCUUUCUGUUCUUGUGGGCCAAAGAGUUUAUUAAUAAGCCCAAAUGGACAACAUAGAGAGUGAUAGAAAGAUAUUUUAAAGUCCAAAUAACAAAUGAACCAAAACAUAAAAUAUGACUGUUAUUUGAUUUUAGUUCUAUGUAGCAGAUGAGAAAAACGUCGGAACACCAUGAGUUGCUUAUCCCCGAUCUUGAGUUGAGCAUCUCUCUAUUUUGCCACCAAAAGUAAAAAAAAUUCAAGCGUGUGUUGGACAUGGGCUUCAUCCUCAACAUAUCAUUUGACUCAAACAGAGACUUAAGUGUUUAAUGGGCUUGUUGUCUCCAACAAAUUAGCCUAUUAAACACAAGAGGCAAAACGGUAAUUUACAGGAGGAGUAGAAGAAUCUUUAGGUUAAGAGGUUUGUCCUAUAAAUAAUGCACUAUUGGCGAAAUAGUGAUACAAAAGAUAAUACCCAGAGAAUCAGAGCAAUAUUCGGACUAAAACUCUUUGUCUUUCGGUUUGUUUUUGUUCUCGGUUCGUUUUGUCUUCGGUUCGUUUUGUUCUCGAUUCGUUUUGUUCUCGGUUCGUUUUAAUUCACGGUUCGUUUUGUUCUCAAUUCGAGUCGUGUUACGUUGCCGAUCGAUAGAAAUCACUUGUAACUAUUCGACCGGCCUGUUGUUUACCUUUCUCGUUCGUCAGCUAAUAAAAGAUACUUCGUCUUCCCGAAAAUCCCUUACUUAUUCAUUGUUACAACCUCGGUACAAACAAUUGGCGCCCACCGUGGGACAGUUCAAAGCUUUUCUUUCACAGAACGAGAACGGCGAGCAGCGUAGAUGUCCCCAGCGAUCCACAAAACCGAAGACGACAUGACAGACACAUCGAGCGAAAACGGAUCUGACGCCAGCCAACAACAGCCGGCACCUGACGCAAUGCAACUGCCACCAGAGAACCCAGCACCCGCUCAAGCUUGCCUGAAUCCCGCACGCGCCGAACCACGUCCUGCCGGGGUAGCAGCCGCAGUGGGAGACACCGCGCUUGGCGGCGACGCUGCACCUUCAAACCAAGGUUCCCAUUUGGAUGACCUCGUGCAAACCAUCUUAGAUCGACUCAACGGUCAAGACGCACGAACAACCGAACGAAUCGAUGCCCUUGUUGCAGCGCAAGUUGCUUCGCAAAGUCAGAUCGAACGGUUACGACGCCGAAGACGUGACUCUCAGCCUCGCGAUGAUCAUGAACGCCUGCCAUCUCCCCAAAUUCCUGCUGCGGAACGUUCCGAAAACUGGCGACAAAGACCGGCAUCAGUUAUCGUAGGAUCUGUUGAAGGGCAACUCCGUGAGAAUCUACCGAACGACCGCAUCCUACCGAGCAACAGAAGUUUGCUGAACUGAUCUUCCGACAACGUCGACCAAACACGCAACAUGGAAAUCGAACGCAUGAACACGGUCAUCAAAGUCAUGUCAUCCAAAAUGCACCGUGCCAUUAGCUCUGCCCCGGAACUGGAGAAGUAUUGGAAGAAACAUAAAGAUCUCCUUUCACGGCACGCAUUUCGGAAGUUCGCGUCCGACACAUAACAAAGGUUAAGCUGGUUCCCUACAACGGUCUCACCGACCCGAAGAUUUUUCUAAAGUCUGUUAGCCUGGCAAUCAACCGCAAUCAUUUCUCUCCCGAAGAAUGCGACACGGGCAGCUGCCAGAUAUUCAUAGAAAAUCUGAUUGACGACGCGUUCAACUGGUUUUCGCUACUUGAGGCCAAUACGAUUAACAACUAUCACCAACUUACGGCCGUCUUCUUGCAGCACCAUUCCAUAUUCAUGAUUAAGGGUGCCUCUAAUGCUGACUUGUGGACUAUGUCUCAAAAAUACAAGGAGCCGUUGCGAGAGUUUAACGAACGAUUCAAAAAGGUUGUUUCCAAUAUUGCUAUAACCGAUGAUGCCACAAUCGCUGCCCUGCGGAACGCUGUCUCAUACGAAUCGCGAUUCAGGGAAGACUUGGUAAUCACCCAGCCGGCAACACUAGAGGAUGCCCUACAUCGCGCUAUCCGAUUUAUCGAAGUCGAAGUAGAAAAAGCUGUGAUGGCAAGACGCCAACCCAAAGCCUCGCAUUCAAAUGAUAAAUCAUACGACGAACACUACAAACCUCGUCAGCAUUAUGAUAAGGAUUAUAGUAAGGGAGAUAAGGGCAAGAAAGCAGCAACUUACGCAAUUGGUAGUUCAGAAGGGCAACCUUCUAAACCAUGGAACAAGUAUUAUCGGGAAACUGAUACCAAACGUAAACCGGCCUACUGCGAGUUCCAUAAAAUCUUCGGUCAUUCGACUGAUGAUUGUCUACAACUUCAGCUCCUACUCCUCUCAAAAUUCAAGAAAGGCGACCUCGACGUUGAGUACGAACGACGUCAGGUAGCAACGCACAAGGACAACAUGUAUCACCCAGUUCAGAGAGAUGAUUAUAACCAACGUAACGAGCGUCUGCGGACAGAAGAGACUCGGCAAAACGAACGUGCCCGAGAUGAUGAUCGGUGAACUAAUGCCCCGAAACGAAAUGAUAACGCCCCCAUCCAUCGGAACAAGAUACACAUGAUCAUGGGUGGACUAACGACUUGCCGCGAUUCUGUCAGAUCCAUCAGAAAUUAUCGCCGACAAGCUGAAGUAACACGGGAUUGGCUCGCCAACAGUACCCCAACUUUUGAUAACACUGAACCGAUAAUCUUCACUGAAGCCGACGCAGCUGGCUUGACAGGCCCGCAUAAUGAUCCGUUAGUUGUCGAGUUGAUAAUCGCUGAAAGCACAGUCACCAAAGUCCUCAUUGACACUGGUAGAUCAGUCAACGUCAUCUUCAAGGACGUUCUGAUACAAAUGGGGGUCGACUUGCGCUCAACCAAACACAACGUUCAACCUUAAACGGGGUUCGACGGCGAUACUGUUAUGACCGUUGGAACAAUAAUGCUGCCAAUCUACGUCGGCAGAACAAUGUUGCUCGUACGUGUUUCAUAGUCGAGCGUCAACUCAGAAAUGCUAAAGCUUUUAUGAUAACUGAACCCACUCCUUCGCUCGAUGAACGCAUAGUACCAAGGACUGAAUCGGUAAUCCAAGUUAACAUUGACGCAACUGACCCUCUUCGAUGUGUUGGUAUUGGCGCUGAUUUACCGCAACAAUUGAAGGACGAGCUCGUACAGUUUUUAAGUCAGAAUGUCAUGACCUUCGCAUGGUCAAUGGAAGAUAUGACGGGUGUCGCACCAGAUAUUACUUGCCAUGAACUUAACGUUGACUCACGUUCAAACCGAUCAAACAAAAACGACGCAAACUUGGUCCGGAAUGCGCAAAUGCCGUCAAUGAAGAGGUUCAGAAACUGCUCGAAGCAGGAUCGAUAGUUGAAGUGCGAUAUCCCGAUUGGCUAAGCAAUCCUGUCGUUGUAAAGAAAAAGAACGGCAAAUGGCGAGUCUGCAUCGACUUCACUGAUCUCAACAAAGCAUGUCCGAAAGAUAGUUUUCCCCUCCCGCGUAUUGACCAGCUCGUCGAAGCUACUGCCGGUAACGAAUUGUUGUCCUUCAUGGACGCUUUUUCGGGUUAUAACCAGAUACUUAUCCACUAAAACGAUCGAGAAAAGACGGCAUUCAUUAUAGAUCGAGGGACAUUCUGUUACAAGGUGAUGUCUUUUGGCCUCAAAAAUGCAAGAGCAACGUAUCAGCGGUUAGUAAACUGAAUGUUCGCCGAGCAACUGGGCCGCACAAUGGAAGUCUAUAUUGACGACAUGCUUGUUAAGUCAACCCAUGCUGCAGAAUACGUCUCUCACUUGCAACAAUGCUUCGACGUCCUGAACAAAUACAACAUGAAGUUGAACCCAGCCAAAUGCACUUUCGGAGUGACUUCUAGAGAAUUCCUCGGAUACCUUGUCACCCAACGGGGAAUAGAAGCGAACCCAAAACAGAUCUCUGCGCUAAUCAAUCUUCCCUCCCCAAGGAACACUCGCGAAGUACAACGGCUCACUGGACGGAUCGCUGCAUUAAAUCGUUUUAUCUCCCGUUCAACCGACAAAUGCCUUCCGUUCUACCAACUUUUGCGGAGCAACAAACGUUUUGAGUGGGACGAUAAGUGUGAAGCAGCUUUCAAACAUGCAGUCAGCGGACUACCUCUCAACUCCACCGAUUUUGGCCAAACCUGAGCAGGGCGAAGUACUGUAUCUUUAUAUUGCCGUCUCAAGUUCUGCGGUCAGCGGAGUUCUGAUCAGAGAAGAUCGCGGUGAACAGCACCCCAUUUUCUACGUUAGCAAAACUCUCGACGGUGCCGAACUGCGGUACCCUACGCUAGAGAAGCUUGCUUAUGCCGUAGUGAUCUAGGCUCACAAACUUUGACCAUACUUCCAAUCUCACGCAAUCGAAGUCUUGACUAACCAGCCUCUACGGACGAUCUUGCACAGUCCAAGCCAGUCUGGCCGAUUAGCAAAAUGGGCGGUCGAGCUAGGCGAAUAUGAUCUUACGUACAAAAACCGAACAUGCGCGAAAUCACAAGUACUCGCUGAUUUUAUAAUCGAGCUCCCACCCAAUCUCAUCGAGGGCGCCCCUCCAUCCGAGAAAUGGAUAUUGCACGUUGAUGGCGCUUCUUCCCGACACGAAUCCGGAGUUGGCGUACGAUUGGAUUCUCCUACGGGAGAAGUGCUGGAGCAAUCUUUCACACUCGCUUUCCCAGCCUCCAAUAACGAAGCUGAAUACGAGGCAUUGAUAGCUGGUUUGCGCCUUGCGUACGGUAUUGGCGUCAAAAGAAUACAAGCUUAUUGCGACUCGCAAUUGGUGGCUAACCAAUUCAGCGGUGAUUACGAGGCAAAAAAUGAACAGAUGGACGCCUAUCUCAAGGUGGUUCGCGAUCUGUCCCGUAAUUUUGAGCUCUUUGAACUUAAUAAGAUCCCAAAAAGCGAUAAUGCUCCCGCUGACGCGCUCGCUGUACUUGCUUCGACAUCUGAUCCGGAUCUCCGUCGUAUUAUACCUGUCGAGAGCAUCGAUCACCCAAGUAUUGAUCUUUCUCCCUCUACAAACACGCAGACUGCGCCAACUAUUGAUUUGCCUGGGCCGCCGAUAAUCUACUUAAUCGUCAAUACGCUCGCAUCAACAUCUUCAGCACCACCAAAUGUUUCUGCGAUAAUGAUAAGUGUGUAUUUUGCAUGUUUUGAGCAUCCAUUUGUCAUCAUUUUAGCAUCAUAUCAUCACUGUUUUAUACCAUUUCACAUCAUUUGUCAUUACUUUGCAUGUUUAGGAUAGUUUUGCAUGCAUGUUGCAUAUUUGCGUUGAUUUCAGGUGAUUUGGAGCUGUUGACGAGCUAUCUAGAAGAAGCGGACCUGAUCACGACAAACCACUCGACCAAGAGGUCGAGUAGGAGCUUCAAGAUCUCAAGAGACCACUCGACCCCCAGGUCGAGCAAAGGACAUCACCACUUCACUUCACCACUCGACCACAAGGUCGAGUGCCUUCACCUCCAUCAUCAGACCACCACUCGACCUCGUCACUCAACCUGGAAGUCGAGUAUCUUCUGACACCACUCGAUCACAUCACUCGACCCCCAGGUCGAGUGCCUUCACCUUCACUGCCAGACCACUACUCGACCUCAUCACUCUACCGACGUCUUCGAUGAAAUGUCUGAACCACUAAUUCCAGAGAUUCGUGACCCUGUACCAAGGUAUUGGUUGCAGGGAGCGUUUUGGCUUUAACUUGUUGCUUCGUAAUGCUUGUUAGGUUAGGUCUUGUCAAUGGUGAUUGAGUCUGAGACUAGGUUAGCUUGAGAAUCUCUGUUGCGGUGGCACUUAGAUUUGGUGAAUGAACUUGUUGUCUAGGGUUAAUUUAUUGAGCAUGUCAAUCACCUGUAAACUGAGGAAACGAAACUACUCAAUUACCCCAUCCUUAGGAAUUCUUUGUCUGAUUGAUUUUAUUGUUUACUUUACUGCUGUUUACUGCAUCCUGUCAUCUGUUGUUUAGUUUCUGCAAUUCUUUAACUGUUACUCGACCUGGUACUCGACCACCCAGUUGUCUGGCAACAGACUGUGCAGUCGAGUAUCCCUGUUUCAUUUUCGACCUGUCACUCGACCUCACCCAGUGCUCUGCAAAGAGCUGUGUUGGUCGAGUGUUUUACUGUUUCUGUUUGAUUUUCUGUUUUCUGCAUGUUCACUUAGGACUGCUAGAACACACCAAAACCUGUUAUGCUUGGCUUGACUUAGUGACUUUUGAUCACAUCUUGAUUGUUAGCAUCACACCCAUUUAGAUUGACAACCUAAAAUACUACAACGACAUGAUUGGUGUUUUAGGAUAAUUGACUAAAAAACCUAUUAUCAAUUUGGCGCCGUUGCCGAUUGGGUGUUUGUUUGUUACAUUGGCGAUUUCAGACUUGCUUAGAUCUAGUUCUUUUUCAAUUUUCUUUUCAGUUACUAACUGUGUGUUUUUCUUGUUGUCUUCUUGAUCCAGGUACACCUCUGCUGUAUGUGAACUCGAUCAACAGGCAACCAGAACCUCCUUUUCAACGACAACAUAACCGCUCGCGAACUCAGAAAAAGGAGAACCACAGUCAACCCUGUACCUCAGCAACCACUCGAAAUGGCUGACGACCAGAAUCAACAAAAUGGCCCUGCCAACAUUGGUGCUGGAGAUGCACCACGUGAUCACCGUCAGAGCAAAGGAAUUGCACCUCCUGCUAUCCAGAACAACAACUUCGAGAUUAAGAGUGGUCUCAUCUCGAUGAUUCAGGGGAACAAAUUCCAUGGUUUGCCAAUGGAGGAUCCACUCGACCACCUUGAUGAAUUCGAUAGGCUUUGCAACCUAACAAAGAUCAAUGGUGUCAGUGAAGACGGAUUCAAACUCUGUUUGUUUCCAUUCUCCUUGGGAGACAAAGCACACAUCUGGGAGAAGAAUCUGCCCCAUGACUCAAUCACCACCUGGGAUGAUUGUAAGAAGGCUUUUCUGUCAAAGUUCUUCUCCAAUGCCAGAACUGCAAAACUCAGAAAUGAGAUUUCUGGUUUCUCACAGAAGACUGGUGAAAGCUUCUGUGAAGCAUGAGAGCGUUUCAAGGGUUACACCAACCAAUGCCCUCAUCAUGGCUUUACUAAAGCCUCUCUGCUCAGCACUCUUUACAGAGGAGUCCUACCACGCAUCAGAAUGCUUCUGGAUACCGCCAGCAAUGGGAAUUUCCAGAACAAGGAUGUUGAAGAAGGCUGGGAAUUGGUUGAGAACCUUGCUCAAUCAGAUGGCAAUUACAACGAAGACUGUGAUAGGACCGUCAGAGGAACAGCUGACUCUGAUGACAAACACAAAAAGGAGAUCAAAGCGCUGAAUGACAAGCUGGACAGGAUUCUUCUUAGCCAGCAGAAGCAUGUGCACUUCCUUGUUGAUGACGAGCAGUAUCAAGUCCAAGAUGGGGAGGGUAACCAGUUGGAAGAAGUCAGCUACAUCAACAACAACCAGGGUGGCUACAAAGGAUACAACAACUUCAAAACCAACAAUCCCAACCUCUCCUACCGUAGCACCAACGUUGCUAACCCUCAGGAUCAGGUGUAUCCUCCACAGCAACAACAAGGUCAGAACAAACCUUUUGUUCCCUACAACCAAGGUUUCGUUCCUAAGCAGCAAUUCCGGGGGAACUACCAGCAACCACCACCACCUGGGUUUGCACCUCAGCAAAACCAAGGCCCUGCUGCUCCUGACGCUGAUAUGAAACAAAUGCUACAACAGCUGCUUCACGGGCAAGCCUCUGGCUCCAUGGAGAUGGCAAAGGAGAUAUCUGAGUUACAUAACAAGCUGGAAUGUAGCUACAAUGAUCUCAAUGUCAAGAUGGAAACACUGAAUACCAAAGUCCGUUACUUAGAGGGACACUCUGCAUCUUCUUCAGCUACAAAACAGACAAGCCAACUACCAGGCAAAGUAGUUCAGAAUCCAAAAGAAUAUGCUCAUGCUAUCACCCUGCGUAGUGGAAAAGCACUUCCAACUAGGGAGGAACCAAAAACGGUCACUGAGGACAGUGAAGAUCAAGAUGGGGAGGAUUUAAGUCUCGGGAAAGAUCAAGCUGACAAACCACUCGACCAGUCACUCGAGCAACCACUCGAUCUGCCACUCGACAGCGUUACUCGACCAACCACUCGACCUGUCAUCCCAGCAGCAUCACCAACUGCUCCAAAACCAGUUGCUGUCAAAAACAAAGAAAAGGUUUUUGUCCCUCCUCCCUACAAACCGCAGCUUCCAUUUCCUGGCCGUCACAAGAAAGCGUUCGCAGACAAAUAUAGAGCUAUGUUUGCCAAGAACAUUAAGGAGGUUGAGUUGCGGAUACCUCUUGUUGACGCUCUAGCGCUAAUCCCAGACUCUCACAAGUUUCUGAAAGACUUGAUUGUGGAGAGAAUUCAAGAAGUGCAAGGGAUGGUGGUAUUGAGUCAUGAAUGCAGCGCUAUCAUACAGAAGAAGAUCAUUCCUAAGAAGCUUAGUGAUCCUGGUUCGUUCACUCUACCGUGCUCUUUAGGUCCAUUGGCUUUCAAUAGAUGCCUAUGCGAUUUAGGAGCAUCAGUCAGUCUCAUGCCGCUAUCUGUCGCCAAAAGAUUGGGGUUCACUCAAUACAAGUCCUGCAAUAUAUCCCUCAUCCUAGCUGACAGAUCAGUAAGGAUCCCUCAUGGUUUGCUCGAAAACCUCCCAAUCAGGAUCGGUACUGUGGAGAUACCAACUGACUUUGUAGUCCUGGAGAUGGAUGAAGAGCCCAAGGACCCAUUGAUUCUAGGGAGACCUUUCUUAGCCACUGCAGGAACUAUGAUUGAUGUCAAGAAAGGGAAGAUCGAUCUAAACCUUGGCAAAGACUUUAGGAUGACCUUUGAUGUCAAAGACGCGAUGAAGAAGCCUACCAUAGAAGGGUAACUCUUUUGGAUCGAAGAAAUGGAUCAGUUAGCUGAUGAGUUACUGGAAGAGCUGGCAGAAGAAGAUCAUCUUAACAGUGCUUUAACCAAAAAUGGUGAAGAUGGGUUUCUGCAUUUGGAAACAUUGGGAUACCAGAAGCUGUUAGACUCCCAUAAAGCGAUGGAAGAAUCAGAACCCUUUGAGGAAUUGAUUGGACCAGUAACAGAGGUAAUGGUAAUGAGCAAAGAAGGGUCAACUCGAGUUCAACCUGCACUCUCGAGGACGUACUCGAGCAACCACUCGACCUUGUCUACCGACGAAUCUAGGGAGCCGAUCAUUCCAACUUCAGAUGACUGGUCUGAACUUAAGGCACCGAAGGUUGAUCUCAAACCACUUCCAAAAGGUCUAAGGUACGCAUUCCUUGGUCCAAACUCUACUUACCCUGUGAUCAUUAAUGCUGAGUUAAAUAGUGAUGAAGUGAACCUGCUAUUAUCUGAGCUUAGAAAGUAUAGGAGAGCAAUUGGUUAUUCAUUAUCCGACAUUAAGGGAAUUUCACCUAGUUUAUGCAACCAUAGGAUCCAUCUUGAAAACGAAUCCUAUUCCAACAUUGAACCACAGAGGAGGUUAAAUCCCAAUUUGAAAGAAGUAGUGAAAAAAGAAAUUUUGAAACUGCUUGAUGCUGGUGUAUCUACCCUAUCUCUGAUAGUACUUGGGUUUCUCUAGUGCAUUGCGUCCCUAAAAAGGGUGGAAUGACUGUUGUCAAAAAUGAAAAAGAUGAACUGAUCCCUACUAGAACUAUAACUGGUCAUAGAAUGUGCAUAGAUUAUAGGAAGUUGAAUGCUGCAUCUAGGAAAGAUCAUUUUCCUUUACCAUUCAUUGACCAAAUGCUUGAACACUUGGCUAAUCAUCCAUAUUAUUGCUUUCUUGAUGGAUACAAUGGUUUCUUUCAAAUACCAAUUCACCCUAAUGAUCAAGAAAAAACCAAUUUCACGUGUCCUUAUGGAACUUUUGCCUAUAAGAGAAUGCCAUUUGGUUUAUGCAAUGCUCCUGCAACAUUUCAGAGGUGUAUAACCUCUAUAUUUUCAGACUUAAUCGAGGAGAUGGUGGAGGUUUUCAUGGACGAUUUUUCGGUCUAUGGCCCCUCUUUCUCCUCAUGUUUGUUGAAUCUUGGCAGGGUAUUGACCAGGUGCGAAGAGACGAAUCUUGUUCUCAAUUGGGAAAAGUGUCAUUUCAUGGUGAAGGAAGGCAUAGUGUUGGGUCACAAGAUAUCAGAGAAGGGUAUAGAGGUUGACAAAGGAAAAGUUGAAGUGAUGAUGCAGUUGCAGCCACCAAAAACGGUGAAGGACAUCAGAAGCUUCCUUGGUCAUGCUGGAUUCUAUAGAAGAUUUAUUAAAGACUUCUCCAAGAUAGCCAGACCGUUAACCAGACUAUUGUGCAAGGAAACCGAAUUUGAAUUCGAUGAUGACUACCUCAAAUCCUUUCAAACCAUCAAGGAUGCUUUGGUAUCUGCUCCGGUUGUUCGAGCGCCUAAUUGGGACUAUCCAUUUGAAAUCAUGUGUGAUGCAUCAGAUUACGCAGUAGGAGCUGUUUUAGGCCAGAAAAUAGACAAGAAGCUUCAUGUCAUAUACUACGCCAGCCGAACGUUGGAUGACGCUCAGGGAAGAUAUGCAACAACUGAGAAGGAGCUUCUAGCUGUUGUAUUCGCAUUUGAGAAGUUCAUAAGCUAUUUGGUUGGAUCAAAGGUAACUGUCACCAUGCAGCUUUGAGGCAUCUGUAUGCCAAGAAGGAUACUAAACCAAGACUGUUAAGAUGGAUACUUUUAUUGCAAGAGUUUGACAUGGAGAUAGUAGAUAAGAAAGACAUUGAAAAUGGUGCAGCGGACCAUCUGUCAAGGAUGAGAAUUGAAGAACCCCUUCCGAUAGACGAUUCAAUGCCAAAAGAACAGCUCAUGGUUGUAGAGUUCUUCGGAAAGAGCUACAGUGGGAAAGAGUUCCACCAUCUGAAUGCUGUUGAAGGAGAAUCUCCAUGGUAUGCUGAUCACGUCAAUUACUUGGCAUGUGGAGUAGAGCCUCCCAACCUGACAAGUUAUGAAAGGAAGAAGUUUUUCAGAGACAUACACCAUUACUACUGGGAUGAGCCUUAUCUUUACACUCUCUGUAAAGAUAAGAUCUACAGGAGAUGUGUCUCAGAAGAUGAGGUGGAAGGUAUCCUGCUGCAUUGCCAUGGCUCAGCAUAUGGUGGUCACUUCGCAACGUUCAAGACAGUGUCCAAGAUUCUUCAAGCAGGCUUUUGGUGGCCAACAAUGUUUAAGGACGCUGAGGAGUUUGUUUCGAAGUGUGAUUCAUGCCAGAGAAAAGGCAACAUCAGCAGAAGAAAUGACAUGCUCAGAAUCCAAUCUUGGAAGUUGAGAUCUUUGAUGUAUGGGGGAUUGAUUUUAUGGGUCCAUUCCCAUCUUCAUACGGUAAUAAAUAUAUACUGGUCGCCGUAGACUACGUAUCAAAGUGGGUCGAAGCUAUUGCUAGUCCUACCAACGAUGCAAAAGUUAUGCUGAAGUUGUUCAAGACCAUAAUCUUCCCAAGAUUUGGAGUUCCCAGGGUAGUAAUCAGUGAUGGCGGAAAACAUUUCAUCAAUAAGGUUUUUGAGAACUUCUUGAAGAAGCAUGGAGUAAAGCACAAGGUCGCCACUCCCUAUCAACCACAGACAAGCGGGCAGGUUGAGAUCUCCAAUAGGAAGAUAAAAACAAUUUUGGAAAAGACUGUUGGGAUUACAAGGAAAGACUGGUCUGCAAAGCUAGAUGAUGCAUUAUGGGCUUACAGGACAGCUUUCAAGACCCCCAUAGGUACAACUCCUUUCAAUCUUCUCUAUGGAAAAUCAUGUCAUCUACCCGUUGAGCUCGAGUACAGAGCAAUGUGGGCGGUAAAACUUCUGAACUUUGACAUAAAAACUGCUGAGGAGAAGCGAUUGAUCCAACUCAGUGACCUCGAUGAGAUCCGUCUAGAAGCUUAUGAAAGUUCUAAAAUCUACAAGGAGAGAACCAAGCUUUUCCAUGACAAGAAGAUCAUCACUAAGGAUUUCCAGGUUGGUGAUCAGAUGCUGCUAUUCAACUCUCGCUUGAAACUCUUUCCAGGAAAACUUAAAUCUAGAUGGUCUGGCCCCUUCUGCAUCACUGAGGUCCGUCCUUAUGGAGCAGUCACUCUAGCUGGUAAGAGUGGAGAUUUUACAGUAAAUGGUCAAAGGCUCAAGAAAUACUUAGCAGACCAAAUCCUUCCAGAGGUGACAUCGGUUCAUCUCCAGGAGCUUCUUGAUGAUUAAAGGAGUAAAGGAGUCAAGCUAAUGACUUUAAACAAGCUCACUUGGGAGGAAGUCCCAUGACUAUCCUUGUAAAUAAUUUUUACUUUCUUGUUAUUUUUGAUUUGUUUUAGUUGUGUUUGUGGUUUUCAGAGACAAGAGAACAACGCGGAGAUAGAGUAAAAAUUCAAAACUGUUACUCUACAGAAGACCUGGAGAUCGAGUGUACAGCCCGUUUGGAGUAGAAAAUUUUGAAAAUCUUUUGUUGCACCUGGAGACCUUGCACUCGAGUACAUUGGUCGAGUAUCUGUGAUGUUUAAAACCCAAAAACUUUUAAAUCAUCAUUUUACUCGACCAACAGAAGCUACAGAGACUUGCAGAAAUUUCCUACAGUUUACAGUAGGUUUUCUGCAAAAAAUUUCUAAGUCAACAGAGUGUGGACCACGCGCUGAGGAUAAGCUGGAGAGAGAAUCUAAAACUCAACCUAGACCACUCAUUUUGAAGCGUCACUCGACUUCUCCAAAUCCACUCGACCUCCCUCUUUUUUAAUUUCACCGCCGACACUCUAAUCUCUCUACACCACAAAUCGCCAUCCAAAGAGCUACUCGAUCCUGCGAAUUUCACUCGACCCCCGCGCCGCCGUCACCAGCUCAUCCCCUCCGUCACCCGACCAAACCACUUCACUCGACCUCGAGAAAGCACUCGACCCCUGCAAAAAUCUACUCGGCUUCUUGUUCGUGAAUUCAGCAGAGCCUUCUAACUUCAGAGAAGUUACUCGACCUCUAGGUUUCACGAUUCACUCCACCUCCACGAUUCACUCGACCUGCUGUAGCAUUCCAACUCGACCUCUGAGAAGAUACUCGAUCCAAUUCGUCUAAGCUCAGGAACAGCUCAGGUUACUCGAGUACAGAAUUGUACUCGACCAAUUCAAUCUAUUUCAUUGCCUAUUGACAAUAAUUUUGGUUUCAUUGCUAUCUUUGAGACUAACCUAUUGACAUUUGAGUUUUGAGUUCUAAAUCUCUACAGGAGAAUCAUGAGCAAUUACAGUGGCAGUUCUUCUGUUGAUCCUGACUACAACAUGGAUGAGACAGAGUCGUCAUCUUCAAGGCCAGAGAGAGAACAGAGAGAAUAUGAAAGCUUCAGAAGGAAAGCUGAGAUAGCCCGAGGAAAGAGAGCGAUGACAGAGAGGUACGAGCUUAUAGACGAAGAUCUGGAAGACGAAUACAUGCCUGAACAGACUCGCAGAGCUACCAAACUUCUGCACAAGCCCGACGUAUUGCCUACUGAGGAAUAUGUUAGGCUUUUCAAGCUGAAUGAGUUCUGUAGCACGAGGUAUCCUUGCUCGACCUCACUUGCACAACUCGGAUUGUUGGAAGAUGUUCAGCACCUGUACCAAAGUUGUCAUCUGGACACUCUGAUGGCUUAUCCGUAUGUAGCGUAUGAAGAUGAGACAAUACAAUUCCUCUCCACGCUGCAAGUAGAGCUCUACCAAGGUAUGACCUCUGAUGAGUUGGAUUGUGAAGGAUUGGGAUUCUUGCGAUUUUCUGUGUAUGGUCAUGAGUAUAGGUUAUCAAUCAAGCGAUUGGAAUGAUUAUUUGGCUUCCCUAGUGGAACGAGAUCUAAGCCAAAGUAUGAAAGAGAAGAGUUGAAAGACUUGUGGAUCACCAUUGGCAGCUCUGUACCGUUGAAUGCUUCCAGGUCAAAGAGCAAUCAGAUACGCAGCCCUGUCAUCAGGUACUUCCAGCGUUCUAUAGCCAAUGUACUCUACUCCGAGAGAUUACAGGGACUGUCACUAACUCUGAUAUGGAGAUGAUCGCAAUGGCCCUCAAGGAAACUCUUCGCCAAACUAAGAAUGGCAUGUCCCUCCAAGGUGAAGUCAAUGACACACCUCUCUCUAUACUUCUUCUGAUCCAUCUGUAUGGAUACAAGAGCUGGGCUGUCAGCAAUAACCGCAAGAGAGCACGAGGCGCUCUGUGCAUAGGUGGCAUUGUGACACCGAUUCUGAUAGCUUGUGGAGUCCCAAUCAUUUCUGCUGGACUCGAGCCGCGAGCAAUGGAUAUCGAGCACCUACGUCACUGCGAAUUCCUGGAGUUUGCAAUGGUUGACGACUUCCACAGGUUCAGGUUUGAGCACUCUAUAGAGAGGAGAGCUAGCAUCCUUCUCCCUAGCCCUGAGGUUACACAGAUAAUAGAGGGAGAUAACAUUGAUUUUAGGCCUGAGGUUGGACGCCUCUACUAUGAGAACGCUCCGCCAUUGGAUGAGGAUGAUCUUCUUGAAGAAGCUGCUUCGGAUGGGAUGGAUGAAGAUAGGGCGGUGGAGUUCGACACUAGCAUGUAUCACUUUGGUGAACAUGUACCUCCAGCGAGGCAGAGCAAGAGCUUGACUGAAGCUCAUAAGAAUAACAGUAAAUUGCAGAAGUGGUGCAAGAAGCAGGACAAGCUGAUCGCCAAGUGUUUCAAGCUUCUGACAGAUAAGCUAAGUUGCUCUUCCUCCACCACUGCUAUUCCACAGGUACAUCCUCCUCUGGAGAUGCCAUCGAGGAGAAUUGAUGCACCUGCGCACAGGCCUGAGCUUAGCGAGCAGAGAGUCCCACAUGUCCAGGCUAGGCAUUCGUCAUUCGAAUCCCGGGAACACAAGAGAAAAAGGAAGACAACACUCACUCGAUCUAGCAGCAGAUCACGCCUCAUUCACUCGAGGAGAUCACUCGACCGCGGUGCUGGCCGCAGCAGAAGGAGAGAGGUCAAGUUUCCUCAGAGCGGUGCUGGCGCCACAGAGCUGAUGAGGUCGAGUACCCACCUGCUGGAGGUGAUACAGAACAAGGUGGUUCGUCUAUAGCUUGCGAGCAAUCGCAGGCAGCCAUUGACGAGCAACUACGUUCAUUCUUCGACUGAGGUAAGCGCCUCACUUCACCAUUGUAUUAUACCAUCUGUUAUGAUUUGUUUCUUCAUUUUUUGUUUCUGUGAUUGGAUUUGUCCUGAGUACUCUCUUCCAAGUUUAUUCGCACAGUGGACUGUGUGAUUUAUGUUUGGGGGAGGGCUUCGGAAGUGUGUGUUGCAUUGUGUAUAUUUUUGAGUCUGCAUUCAUCUAAGGCAUAGAAAAACCAAAAAAAAUUUGAAAAAUUCAGAAAAUGAUUUCACAAAAAAAAAAAAAGAGUGUUCAUGUACCUGCAUUACAUUUAGUAUCGAGUCUUGAGUGUUUCAUUUAGGAUUGUUGCAUAUGCAUAGGGGAUGAUGAUGAGAUAGCCUUGUAAGCAUUUUGAUUCACCGGAUAAACUCAAUGCCCUCAUUGCUAGUUGUCUGUUGCAUAGUCAAUGAAUUUGAAAAAAAAAACUGAACCAUGCCUAGAUUGCUCUACUAGACCACACUGUCAUGAACUGAUACCAUUCCCUAUCAAUUUGAACCUGAAUCUGAUCUUUAAUUAUCAUGUCUGCAUCAAAUUUGAACUCAUGGAUACCUUAAAAUACUUGGAUUUUCUUAUUUAUUUUGAUCACUCUUGUUAAUCCAAGUAGCUGACUCUCCUUAUUAGAGCAGUUAACCCAAACCCAAACCUAGACUUUCUUUCGAGCCCUAUAUCACUUGUGAGUGUUUGUGAGGCCUUAUUCCGAUUAAGCUUGGUAGAAAGUGUUAGGUUCGUAACGACAGAGAUAGUGUCUCAUGUAGUUCUAGUUCGCAUUUUUCGGACUAGAUAGGACUAGGUGGGCACUUAUAUUUUGGGUUGGGAUGUGUUUAAAAGAAAAAUGAUUCAUUGGUAAGAAAAGGUAGAAGACUCUAGGUGAAGUAAGCUAAAGAAGCAGAAAAAGUCUAGUACAGGUUUUGGGAUUUGUAAAGAAAAGAAAGAGUUCUUGUUAGCUAUUGAAGAUGGGCAAAAGCCCUUGGUUUUAAAAUGUUAAAAACAGGAACCUUAGUUGUUAAAGAAAUCCAAAUCCGCUAGAUAUAUCAAAGUGUUGAGAAAGCUUCUCCUAGAGUUAAGAGAAAAGAAAAGAAUGAUUAGAAAAAUGGCUUAAAAGAUUCAUGAAUGCAAAGGGUAGAGUUUAGUUCUUGUAUUGGGAUUGGAGAUGGGAUUACCAUUAGAGCUUCAUUUGAUGUACUCUGGGUAGAUAGGAUCUUAUCACUGUAUGCAUAGCUUGGGACUUACCUUUAGCAUUCUACUAAAGCUUAAUCAUUUUUUGAGAGAUACCUGUUACUGAAGCCUAUUCUGUAAGGGACCAUCUUUGUCUCUUGACCUUUUACCUUAGCCAAAUGAGUUCUUUGAUGAUGCAUUGCUUGAUUCACGUUCCAGAACUAAUGAAUGUUAAAGGGAUUGGUAGAUUUGAAAACUUGUGUAGGUCGAGCAUAUGAGUCGGAUUGAUUGAUUGAUGAGGCAUGGCUAACGUUUUUAAGUAGAAUUCGAUCUUGCAGCUUAGAACUUUCAACUUGGUCAUUGAUUUCAUCUGGUCUAUCUGGUGUUUUGGCUCUCAGUCCCCGCUUUCAAACCUCACUUCCAGCUUGUUCUUGAUUGUUUGCUUGAGGGCAAGCAAAGACUAAGUUUGGGGGAGAUGAUAAGUGUGUAUUUUGCAUGUUUUGAGCAUCCAUUUGUCAUCAUUUUAGCAUCAUAUCAUCACUGUUUUAUACCAUUUCACAUCAUUUGUCAUCACUUUGCAUGUUUAGGAUAGUUUUUCAUGCAUGUUGCAUAUUUGCGUUGAUUUCAGGUGAUUUGGAGCUGUUGACGAGCUAUCUGGAAGAAGCGGACCUGAUCACGACAAACCACUCGACCAAGAGGUCGAGUAGGAGCUUCAAGAUCUCAAGAGACCACUCGACCCCCAUGUCGAGCAAAGGACAUCACCACUUCACUUCACCACUCGACCACGAGGUCGAGUGCCUUCACCUCCAUCAUCAGACCACCACUCGACCUCGUCACUCAACCUAGAAGUCGAGUAUCUUCUGACACCACUCGAUCACAUCACUCGACCCCCAGGUCGAGUGCCUUCACCUUCACUGCCAGACCACUACUCGACCUCAUCAUUCUACCUAGAGGUCGAGUAUCGCCAUCACACCACUCGACUGCAUACUCGAUCACAAGCUUCAGAGCCUUCUUCAUUCCGCACUUAACCAGACACUCGAGCACAAGGAAGAAAAGAAGACUCCAGUUAUUCACUCGACCUCUCACUCGACCAGAUGGGUCGAGUACAGUUCUUAACCCGUCCCAAUACUUCGUCGUUUUGAGUAUUAGGGUUUCGGGAUAUUUGGCUAUAAGUAGCAUGUACUUCACAUUUUCGCAAAAGAAGUUUUUACCUAGUUUUAUUUCCGCAGAACUUGUGUUCUAGACUUUUUGUAAUCCAGAUUUCUCUUUAUCUAUUCAGUAUUCAGUAUACUGUUGUUCAUUCUGUUAUCAUCCUGCUGUUACACUGCUGUUAUCAUGUCUUCAACCUGUUCAACGUUUAUGCUUUCUGUUAUGAUGUCUGAGUAGUGAAUAGGUUUCUGAGGAUGGGUUAGAGUAGUGUAGAAUUCUCAGUAUGCUAGGUGAUUGAGUAUUGAUUGAUAAAUCCCUUCUCAAUUAGUUGUUCUUAAUGCCUAUUGCUUUCUGAUCAACUGGAAUUUGAGCCCAGACAUUUCCGCGCCCAAAAGGUGUUCGAUGAAAUGUCUGAACCACUAAUUCCAGAGAUUCGUGACCCUGUACCAAGGUAUUGGUUGCAGGGAGCGUUUUGGCUUUAACUUGUUAUUUCGUAAUGCUUGUUAGGUUAGCUCUCUUCAAUGGUGAUUGAGUCUGGGACUAGGUUAGCUUGAGAUUCUCUGUUGCGGUGGCACUUAGAUUUGGUUAAUGAACUUGUUGUCUAUGGUUAAUUUAUUGAGCAUGUCAAUCACCUGUAAACUGAGGAAACGAAACUACUCAAUUACCCCAUCCUUAGGAAUUCUUUGUCUGAUUGAUUUUAUUGUUUACUUUACUGCUGUUUACUGCAUCCUGUCAUCUGUUGCUUAGUUUCUGCAAUUCUUUACUAUUACUCGACCUCGUACUCGACCACCCAGUUGUCUGGCAACAGACUGUGCAGUCGAGUAUCCCUGUUUCAUUUUCUGUCUGUUACUCGACCUGUCACUCGACCUCACCCAGUGCUCUGCAAAGACCUGUGUUGGUCGAGUGUUUUACUGUUUCUGUUUGAUUUUCUGUUUUCUGCAUGUUCACUUCGGACUGCUAGAACACACCAAAACAUGUUAUGCUUGGCUUGACUUAGUGACUUCUGAUCACAUCUUGAUUGUUAGCAUCACACCCAUUUGGAUUGACAACCUAAAAUAGUACAACGACAUGAUUGGUGUUUUAGGAUAAUUGACUAAAAAACCUAUUAUCAGAUAACACAGCCUGCCCAAUCGCCCCCAACCGAACCUACGUUCCCACACCAGACGGACGAUCUCGUUGUUCAGGAUCGGCGCGAUGAAAUACGAAACUAUAUCGCAGAUGGCACAAUCCCGACGGAUAAGUGGGCCGCCCGACGGUUACGUGCCCGCAGCGCGCAGUACAUUGUUGGAUGGCAAUCUUCAUCGUUGGAACGCUGCUGGGGUACUUUUCUCAUGUCUUGCCGGUGACGAAACCUUACAAGUUAUGCGUGAAAUUCACGAAGGCGCUGGUGGGAACCAUUCAGGAGGUCGUGCUUUGGCACUUCGCAUACGCAAACAUGCCCAUUAUUGGCCCACCAUACUCUCUGAUUGCAGUAAGUUUGUCGCCAAAUGCAAAAAGUGUCAAAGGCACGCGCCUAUUAUUCACGCACCGACGGAACUGUUGCAUACUAUUGCGCCUCCUUACCCAUUCAUGCGUUGGGCGAUGGACAUCGUCGGACCUCUUCAUGCGUCCCGCCAAAAGAAAUACCUUCUCGUCAUGAUCGACUAUUUCACCAAGUGGGCCGAGGCGGAAUCAUAUGCCCGGAUCCAAUCGAAAGACGUCCAGAAUUUUUUUUGGAAGAACAUUAUUUGCCGCCACGGGCUUCCGUACGAAAUUAUUACCGAUAAUGGCUCUCAGUUCACUUCACUUCAAUUCGAGGGUUUCUGUGCAAAAUGGAGAAUCCGGCUGAGUACGUCUACACCUCGAUACCCGCAAGGCAACGGACAGGCUGAGGCCACAAACAAAACUAUCAUUUAUGGACUAAAGAAGCGCCUUGAAGAAAAUAAGGGUGCAUGGGCAGACGAACUCGACAGUGUCUUGUGGUCACACCGUACUUCUCCUCGGCGAUCUACCGGUCAAACACCAUUCUCCCUUGCUUACGGUAUGGAGGCUAUGGCACCGUCUGAAGUCGGCCUCCCCACGAUCUGACGUUCUAUGCUUGUCCACAAUUCUGCUCUCAACGACAAGAUGCUCCUUGCCAACCUCGACACCGUCGAAGAACAACGUGACCUGGCUCUCCUUCGCAUCUAGAACUACCAGCAGGCUGCAGCAAAAUUUUACAACAAGAAGGUAAAAUCCCGCUACUUUGUCGAAUGAGAUCUCGUUCUACGCAAGGUGUUUGAAAAUACCGCUGAAAUCAAUGCUGGCAAGCUUGGAGCUCACUGGGAAGGCCCUUAUCUAAUCUUCAAAGUCGUUAAACUCGACGUUUAUCAAUUGUUGACUAUGGACGGGACUUCAAUUCCUCGCUCCUGGAACUCGUCCAACUUUAAACGCUAUUACUAUUAACACUGAUGUGCAUCGCUACCGCGACACACUAUCACCACCACGUCUUAUCAUUUCCGCGUCUCAUCUUCAAAAAAAAAAAAAAAAAAAAAAAAACACAACGAACUACGGAUGGCUUGAUACCUUCCUAAGGGUACGUAGGCAGCUCUUCGCGUUCCACAUGAAUGCAGUGGCGAAAUAAUCCACAUCUUUACUUAGGUAGAGAAUAAAAGCUGAGACAGCCUCGCAUUAGCCAGCAGGCGGCGGAAUCAUAAUAAGCCAAGUUCUGGCUUGCACGUUCUUGCCGACCUUAGAGCAUAUACAGGAUAAGCCGGACACCAGAACCGCACCUAUCAGGUACGAUGAGUCCGUCUUGUCUACUGAACACUAAGCUUGUUGUUUCGGCUAAAACAUAUACAUAAUGUGUUUCAAAACCAAGUUUAAAACGCCAAGGACAUUUCGCCAAAUGUUAGCCGAGAUCAACCUUGCAUGAAAACUCAAAGAUAAACCGAGCAUAUGAAUAGGAUUAACCGAGCUGCAGCUCGCGCCUAAUGAAUACAAUAAGACAGUCACAAAUACAAUAUCAAGUAUGCUAAACGAAGAAUAAACCACAAACAUCAUCAAUAAAGAGAGUCGUCAAAUAGCGCGAUAGUCAAAGUCCACACAAACAUCCGAAAUACAACGCAAACCCAACAAAGGGCUAAUCAUACAUAACGCCGAUCCGACAAAGCCACAAAAGCCAAAACGUCGAACAAAGUUUACAAUACCGAAAGAGAUAAAAAAAACAGCAUAAAAGCAACCCCCAUCCUCUUGUCGCUUCGGAAGGUCACAACGACCUAAGUACCACCAAUCCUCGCUUCGCCCUCAGCCGUCGUCAUCGCUGCCUCAUCCUCAACCUCUGGAAAGGCCACGAGGUCAUCGUCAAGAAGAUCGGUAAUCGCAAGGUCAUCAACCACUUUGCCCCACUUAUUUUUGUCAACCUUAAGCUCGCACAUAGUCUCUCCGGGGACUGCCAAACCGUUUGUGAUCAACUUCUUCAAGAGUUUCCGAGAACCCGCGACCUGACAUUGCAUGAAAAGAGGUUCGUCCGCAACGCGUUUGUCAAGGAUAUGCUUCCGUAACCGAUCGAUCCUGGCUUUAUAAAGAGCAAUGUCAUCUUUAAAGCGGCUCCGUUCGGAACGAGUAGUGCGAAGGGCAUCGUCACGGGAACUUCUCAACCUUGAUUGCUCAGCUCGACCAAAAGAGUCCGACUUUUUGAGACUUUCAGAGAGUUCCAAGAUUUGCUUCUCGAAACCCUCAAUCCUUCCUUUCUCUGAGUUCAGGUUACGCAAACGAGUUGCUGCAGUAAAUUCAGCGAUCUUUCGUUUUGCCUCAACGGCCACCAUUUCCUCCCUUGCCUCUCUCGCCUGUUCCUCGAGAAAGUUGUAUAACGCGUUUCCGGUGGCAAUCGACUGAUAAUAGGAGAAAGAGAACGAAAAGUUAUCAUAACAGAAAACGAUAAACGUGACAAAGUAAAUAAAAAGAUAGACGUACCUGAACCUCCUUACAAGCCCAAGUCUGGUAGAGAUUCUUCGCUAUAGGGGAUUCAACCGGAGGGUUCUCACGAGACAACCCGUUAACUUUUCUAGCAAACUCACCGCAAUAACUCCUGCUGUCCGAAAACGGAUAACCCUUCCUAUCAUAGUUGAAUGAAAAGGAAUGAUCUACCUCCCGAAUAUCCUGAGUUGAGCCUCUCUCAUGGACGACGGGAAAAGAAUCUCUUGAACUACCUCCAUGAGAAACCUUACUGCGCGGGGAAGCAUGAACACUCAACGGCUCACGGAAAAUAGCUCCAUCCUCGGUAACAGAAUUUGAAGCUAUCUUCCUGGCACGAGCGUCUAAGAGCCGCAUCGCCCUAUCCUCGCUAUCAGAACCCGAAGCUUUCUUCCCAACUCGAGCAUCUGAAAGUUGUGUCGCCCUAUCCUCGUUAGUAAUCUGUUGGUUAGUCUCGAUCUCGCCACUCUCUAAAACCUUCGCCACCACCUGUUGCGGUUGGUUACAACAGCGGGAACAUCGACAUCCAUCGCUACUGAACUACCUUCCCGAACGUAUCAGCGUAAAUCGGAAACUAAUGGCUAGCUUUUCCCAUCUCUGAAGUUGACGGUGAAUCUGCAAAACAAUCUCCAUAAAAAAAACAUAUCGAGACAAAUUGACAAACGAACAAGAUUUUCAAAGAACUUACGAGUUUCAAACGAGUCGAUAACGUCUGGCCAAUGCAAAGGUUUUCUCGUCCUAACAGCUGCAAGACUCGCAGAUAUCCCUCCAAAAGUUCCUCGAGGUUGAAAAUCGUGCGCUGCAAACAAAACUAAACGCGGUAAGAAAGCAACAUUCACGACAGUCACAUGAGCAUAACUAAAAAGAUCUACCAGGAAACAUAUUCCACUCGCAAAAAAGAACAAAACGUCAAGAUCCGAAACAGAAAUCUCGGAUAACUCAACGAAAAAGAAGUAGAGCCGCCAAUCCGGAACUUUACUCUUCAUCCCUUUUACCAACUUAUGGUUAGGUCUAGCGUUCACUUGACAUAAUCCCGGAUUAUCUUUUGGGGCAGCAAAGGUCGUAGCCUCUUCCAAAAGGCCGGCAUCAACCUCAACUUCACGGUCGGCUCCCAACAUCAUCAAGCCAACUGCAUUGCAAACCGCAGCAAGAGCGAGCUGGGAAAACGCAAUCCUCCGUCGAAGACAGUAUCGUACGAGAAAAUCGGGGAGAGGAAAACGAAGCCCAGCGUCUGUAAAGUAACCUUCGUACAUACAGAAGAAUCCCUAAGGAAGUUUCCAAGGACGUUGAUGCUUUUCUGGCACCAUUACCGUCAAACCAUCGGGAAAAAUGGAUUGAUCAAUCAAGUGAGUCAAUCUCUUUCUAGUGCAUAACGUUGAUCCAUCAUCCCGCGGAUCAGGAACGACCACCGACUCAUCACCAAGCGGAGUCCAUCUUAGAGAGCGAAGUCCUACGACAAUAGAUCUAUGUGGAGUGUAAACAACGAUGUCAUCUUCAUCAACUUCUCUAGAUUCCAUCUCUCUACGGUAAUUUUCAAGCUGACUCAAAGUUUUUCAGAUACCAUGAGUGGUAACCACAAGAUUUGCCUCUAGAAAACGCUCAAUGUCUCCCAAAUUUCCAUCGUCGACUUCGCCAGAAUACUAGACUAAAUCACGUCCUCCAAAAUCAUCAACCGGCAACCCGUCAUUUAUUCCACGAUAAGCAUCCUGGUUGGUCCCAUAACCAUUCAAGUCACACCAACCACAGUCCAUCGUCCCAAACCGGAUUCUUUGGCUGAACCGGCAAGCUCCAACCUCUAAACCAAACCGGUUCCUCACCGAACCGUAGUCUCCUCUCUUGCUGAACCGAAUUUCUUCUUCCUCUACCGAACCGAAGAUCUCUUUCUCUCGCCGAACCAAAGCUCUUCUUCCUCUACCGAACCGAAGAUCUCUUUCUCUUGCUGAACCGAAUUUCUUCUUCCUCUACCGAACCGAAGAUCUCUUUCUCUCGUCGAACCGGAGCUCCUCUUCCUCUACCGAACCGAAGAUCUCUUUCUCUUGCUAAACCGGAUCUCUCCUUCCAAACCGAAAUGAAUCUUUUCUUCCUCUUCACCGAACCGGAUCUCUUCUUCCAAACCGAACCGGAUCUUUUCUUCCUCUUCACCGAACCGGAUCUCUUCCUCAAACCGAACCAGCUCUAUCUCCUCUCAAAUGCCGAACGAGCUCUUCCUCCUCAAUUGCCGAACCAGCUCUUCUUCCUCUUCUUACGAACCGUCUCUUCCUCCUCAACUCACGAACCAGCUCUUUCUUCUCUUCUCACCGAACCAGUUCGAUUCAAGCUUCUCUCUUCGCCGAACCAAGACGUUCUCGACGAACCACAACCAAGGAAGCGUGAACAAGAGAAAAUAAAGAGAUAAGGGAGAGAGAAUUUAUUUACCGUUUUGGUGAAAUGAUGCGGUGAGAAGGUAAAGAGUAAAAAAGAGGAGACAUAUAUAUAGGGAAAAAUUAUGCACAGUAAAAUCCUUGGAAUAUUAUCCACCGGAAAGAGUUCUGCACUCUGCUAAAAGCGUAUCCACGGCGUAAAAUCACCGGAGUUCCGCACUCCUAGGAAAACGCGCGCAAAGCGUAGAAAUAAAAAAUAUAUAAUAUUUUACAUCUACGGUGUAAUUUUCGUUUAGGCCAAAUCGACAUAUUCCGAUUCAAGAAAUCCGCUCACCAGACUCUACAAAAUUCUCGCCUGAUGAACUAAGGGGGGGGGGCUUAUUGUUGGACAUGAGCUUCACCCUCAACAUAUCAUUUGGCCCAAACAGAGACUUAAGUGUUUAAUGGGCUUGUUGUCUCCAACAAUUUAGCCUAUUAAACGCAAGGGGCAAAACGGUAAUUUACAGGAGGAGCAGAAGAAUCUUUAGGUUAAGAGGCUUGUCCUAUAAAUAAUGCACUAUUGGCGAAAUAGUGACACAGAAGAUAAUACCCAGAGAAUCAGAGCAAUAUUCGGACUAAAACUCUUUGUCUUUCGGUUCGUUUUUGUUCUCGGUUCGUUUUGUCUUCGGUUCGUUUUGUUCUCAGUUCGUUUUGUUCUCGGUUCGUUUUAGUUCACGGUUCGUUUUUUUCUCAAUUCAAGUCGUGUUACGUUGCCGAUCGAUAGAAAUCACUUGUAACUAUUCAACCGGCCUGUUGUUUACCCUUCUCGUUCGUCAGCUAAUAAAAGAUACUUCGUCUUCCCGAAAAUCCCUUACUUAUUCAUUGUUACAACCUCGGUACAAACAGCGUGCCACUAGUUAUUCAAAGUGCUACUGUAAAUGUGAUAUACCAAAAAUACUCUUAAUGAAAUUACUUACGAUUGGUACAACUAAGAGAUGAUAGUACAACUGGUUCAAACGAUAGAUUAUGGGACAAGUGGAACAAAUGGUAUUACAGUAUUACUAAACGAUAAUAGUACAACUGAUAUAAUUUACAUAUAAAUAAGAACAACUGGUACAAAUGGUUUUACUGAAAAAAAAGAAAUUUUAAUUCAAAACCCUAACACCGCCACCCUCUUUAAUUCGCCUCUUCUUAACUUGUUUAUUGUUUCUCCCGUCACCUUUCUUCCUAGAAGUUUGUAGACUGUGUUCUUUGUUUCACCAAACGAUUUCGCAUUACAAAGGAGAAAAUCAUGAAGAGAUAUUCAUAGAGAAGAAGCAUGAAUAGAGAUCUAUGCUUUGUGAAUCUUAGAAAUCAAUGGAAAAGAAACAUGAAGAGAGAUAUAUGAAGAAACGCAAAGAGAGAUUGAUGGAAAAUAAAAUAUCUAUGGAAAAUAAGAGAUCUAGAGUUUCAUUGUGAAGAUGAUGGAGAAGACGAGAAAUCUAAAAUAAUCAAAAAAAAAGAAGAAGAAGAAGAAGAGAAGAAGAAGGAGGCAUGAAAAAAAAGAAAGAAGUGUAGAUAUGUUAUUGGAUUGGCAAAAGAAAGGAUAAGAAUACGUAAAAACUAGAUUAG